AUGGUCCACGCGUCCACGUCGUUUCUGAGGGCGCCGUCCGCACCCACCUGACGACUGCUCGCCAGGUUUUGUGAGUU
RNAcentral lists this small RNA (77 nucleotides) under Xanthomonas sp. NCPPB 1560. RNAcentral describes it as "sX9 sRNA". It matches the Rfam family "Xanthomonas sRNA sX9". Lineage: Bacteria; Pseudomonadati; Pseudomonadota; Gammaproteobacteria; Lysobacterales; Lysobacteraceae. RNAcentral also lists the same sequence under 7 other names. The record is from RNAcentral.